UGACGGUACCACUUGAAUAAGCUCCGGCUAACUACGUGCCAGCAGCCGCGGUAAUACGUAGGUGGCGAGCGUUGUCCGGAAUUAUUGGGCGUAAAGGGAGCGCAGGUGGGAAAGUAAGUCAGUCUUAAAAGUGCGGGGCUCAACCCCGUGAUGGGAUUGAAACUACUUUUCUUGAGUGCAGGAGAGGAAAGCGGAAUUCCUAGUGUAGCGGUGAAAUGCGUAGAUAUUAGGAGGAACACCAGUGGCGAAGGCGGCUUUCUGGACUGUAACUGACACUGAGGCUCGAAAGCGUGGGGAGCGAACAGGAUUAGAUACCCUG
Molecule: ribosomal RNA, 319 nt
Filed under: uncultured bacterium
Lineage: Bacteria
Description: bacterial SSU rRNA
Rfam family: Bacterial small subunit ribosomal RNA
Source: RNAcentral